Molecule: ribosomal RNA, 253 nt
Filed under: uncultured bacterium
Lineage: Bacteria
Description: partial 16S ribosomal RNA
Rfam family: Bacterial small subunit ribosomal RNA
Source: RNAcentral
UACAGAGGUCCCAAGCGUUGUUCGGAUUUAUUGGGCGUAAAGGGUGCGUAGGCGGCGGAGUAAGUUGGGUGUGAAAUCCCGGGGCUCAACCUCGGAAUUGCAUUCAAUACUGCUUCGCUUGAGUACUGGAGAGGAGACUGGAAUUUACGGUGUAGCAGUGAAAUGCGUAGAUAUCGUAAGGAAGACCAGUGGCGAAGGCGGGUCUCUGGACAGUUCCUGACACUGAGACACGAAGGCCAGGGGAGCAAACGGG